CAUCCAACAUUCUCUAGAAUCUAGGUACAUGAGUUAAGUUAUUGAUUCCUUGCUUAUCUUGCUUGCUUGCAGAUUACACAUUUGAGAAAAAUGAAGAGAAUAUUAACUACAAAGGAUUUUUUAAUGGUAUAUUUUAUGAAGGCAAGACAAGACUAUGUAUUUUUAAGAUACAGAUACUGUCUGCUUGCCAAGCUCAUCCUUUUUUGUCAUGUCUCCCUAUAAAACAUCUGUGUGUCUGGUAGGCUCCUCAGAGUGACAUUGUGGCCCUAUGAGUGUUCAAGGUAACCAGCAUCUUCAAUGAAUCCACAUUUUAAUGAAUAUAUUAUAUUUUCAUUAUAAAUAAUCAUAAAAAAUCCUUUAUAAAUACUGAUAUAUUUAACACACUUAUAUAAUUUGGUAAGCAAUCUAAGUCGUGGGUUAAAGAAUUUGGUUAACACUUAAGAAAACUCAUAUUCCUAUAAUCUCAUAUUAUUUACCUGCACUAUUUGAUAACUUUUUUAUAGUUUAUUCCAGGACCUAUAAUUUGUUUCCUUCAUUUUCCUGAAAGACCUUGUAGAGGAAUGCUAUCAUUUUCAUAAAAAUGAAAAAAAAAAAGUAAACUUCUAUUAAGCAUUGAGUUAGUCCUCAAAAUCACCACAAGAGCCCCUAUGGAGACAUAGUCAUAUGACCUUAGAGG
This 676-nucleotide long non-coding RNA is filed under the name Mus spicilegus (steppe mouse). RNAcentral's name for it is "lncRNA (ENSMSIG00000032143.1)". The record is from RNAcentral. Lineage: Eukaryota; Metazoa; Chordata; Mammalia; Rodentia; Muridae.